GACGAACGCUGGCGGCGUGCUUAACACAUGCUAGUCGAACGCUGAAGCUCAGCUUUUGUUGGGUGGAUGAGUGGCGAACGGGUGAGUAACACGUGAGUAACCUGCCCCCUUCUUUGGGAUAACGCCCGGAAACGGGUGCUAAUACUGGAUAUUCACUGGUCUUCGCAUGGGGGUUGGUGGAAAGGGUUUUUCUGGUGGGGGAUGGGCUCGCGGCCUAUCAGCUUGUUGGUGGGGUGAUGGCCUACCAAGGCUUUGACGGGUAGCCGGCCUGAGAGGGUGACCGGUCACAUUGGGACUGAGAUACGGCCCAGACUCCUACGGGAGGCAGCAGUGGGGAAUAUUGCACAAUGGGCGCAAGCCUGAUGCAGCGACGCCGCGUGAGGGAUGGAGGCCUUCGGGUUGUGAACCUCUUUCGCUCAUGGUCAAGCCGCAACAAUGGUUGUGGUGAGGGUAGUAGGUAAAGAAGCGCCGGCUAACUACGUG
This 483-nucleotide ribosomal RNA is filed under the name uncultured bacterium. Its description in RNAcentral is "partial 16S ribosomal RNA". It matches the Rfam family "Bacterial small subunit ribosomal RNA", at positions 28 to 507 of the family's 1533-position model. The record is from RNAcentral.